Rhipicephalus microplus (southern cattle tick) is the source of this 423-nucleotide long non-coding RNA. The record is from RefSeq and is a predicted model, not a curated record. NCBI's taxonomy places the organism in Eukaryota, Metazoa, Arthropoda, Arachnida, Ixodida, Ixodidae.
GCCGAGUGUUGAUGAUGGACAUGAUGCGAAUACAGUUACUCUCUGUGAAGGUUCCGUUUCUGUGAAAUCCCGUGACCAGUACCAUUUGCUUGUGUGUGUAGAAGAUGGACUGCAUUCCUGCCGGCAGUGUGCCUAUACGACCACGGAUAAAGGACACAUGAAUGUGCACCUUCGCCAACACACAGGGGAGCGUCCCUUCCAGUGUCACCUUUGCCCGGCUACUUUUGUUGUGAAAGUCCGCCUCACAGAGCACAUUGGCACCCAUACCAGGGAGCGUCCUUUCUCCUGCACCCAGUGCAAUGCGUCCUUUUCAGUGAAAUGGAGCGUGACGAAACACUUGCCCACCCACACAGGAGAGCGUCCCUUUUGCUGUGUUAAAUCCUUUUCAAAGAAAUGUAACCUGAAGCAGCACAUGUGCACCCA